AGAGUUUGAUCCUGGCUCAGGAUGAACGCUAGCGGCAGGCCUAAUACAUGCAAGUCGAACGGUAAAUAAUAUAGCAAUAUGUUAUGAGAGUGACGUACGGGUGCGUAACACGUAUGCAACCUACCUUGUACAGGAGUAUAGCUCGGGGAAACUCGAAUUAACACUUCAUAGUAUUACUGGAUGGCAUCAUUUGGUAAUUAAAACUCAGGUGGUACAAGAUGGGCAUGCGUCUGAUUAGUUAGUUGGCGGUGUAACGGACCACCAAGACGAUGAUCAGUAGGGGAACUGAGAGGUUGAUCCCCCACACUGGCACUGAGAUACGGGCCAGACUCCUACGGGAGGCAGCAGUAGGGAAUAUUGGUCAAUGGAUGGAAGUCUGAACCAGCCAUGCCGCGUGCAGGAAGAAGGCCUUCUGGGUUGUAAACUGCUUUUGCCAGGGGAUAAAAAGACCGUGCGCGGUUAAUUGAAGGUACCUGGUGAAUAAGCCACGGCUAACUACGUGCCAGCAGCCGCGGUAAUACGUAGGUGGCAAGCGUUGUCCGGAUUUAUUGGGUUUAAAGGGUGCGUAGGCGGUCUGUUAAGUCAGUGGUGAAAUAUGGCAGCUUAACUGUCAGGGUGCCAUUGAUACUGAUGGACUUGAGUGAAGUCGAGGUUGGCGGAAUUGACGGUGUAGCGGUGAAAUGCUUAGAUAUCGUCAAGGAAUACCAGAGGCGAAGGCGGCUAUCUAGUUCAAAACUGACGCUGAGGGACGAAAGCAUGGGGAGCAAACAGGAUUAGAUACCCUGGUAGUCC
Molecule: ribosomal RNA, 792 nt
Filed under: uncultured bacterium
Lineage: Bacteria
Description: bacterial SSU rRNA
Rfam family: Bacterial small subunit ribosomal RNA
Source: RNAcentral